RNAcentral lists this ribosomal RNA (374 nucleotides) under uncultured bacterium. Its description in RNAcentral is "bacterial SSU rRNA". It matches the Rfam family "Bacterial small subunit ribosomal RNA", at positions 524 to 898 of the family's 1533-position model. The record is from RNAcentral.
UACGUAGGGUGCAAGCGUUAAUCGGAAUUACUGGGCGUAAAGCGUGCGCAGGCGGUUCGGAAAGAAAGGUGUGAAAUCCCGGGGCUUAACCUCGGAACUGCACUUUUAACUACCGGGCUAGAGUACGUCAGAGGGGGGUAGAAUUCCACGUGUAGCAGUGAAAUGCGUAGAUAUGUGGAGGAAUACCGAUGGCGAAGGCAGCCCCCUGGGAUGAUACUGACGCUCAUGCACGAAAGCGUGGGGAGCAAACAGGAUUAGAUACCCUGGUAGUCCACGCCCUAAACGAUGUCAACUAGCUGUUGGGGUUUAUUAACCUUAGUAGCGCAGCUAACGCGUGAAGUUGACCGCCUGGGGAGUACGGUCGCAAGAUUAAA